RNAcentral lists this long non-coding RNA (3866 nucleotides) under Sus scrofa (pig). Its description in RNAcentral is "lncRNA (ENSSSCG00015074147.1)". The record is from RNAcentral. Lineage: Eukaryota; Metazoa; Chordata; Mammalia; Artiodactyla; Suidae.
CUUUUUCUCUUUUUGCCUUUUUCUAGGGCCACUCCUAUGGCACAUGGAGGUUCCCAGGCUAGGGGUCUAAUUAGUGCUGUAGCCGCUGGUCUACGCCAGAGCCACAGCAACGCAGGAUGCAACGCGUCUGUGACCUACACCACAGCUCACAGCAACGCUGGAUCCUUAACCCACUGAGCAAGGCCAGGGAUUGAACCCGCAACGUCAUGGUUCCUAGUCAGAUUCGUUAACCACUGAGCCACGAUGGGAACUCCUCCAUUGCUUUUUAAACACAUCUGAAUCCUUUGUGUUUCCCGCUCGCCCCCCCCCAAAAAAAGAACCAUCCCCUAAAUAGAUAUUGCUUCAGAGAAGACCUACAGAUGGCCAACAGGCACAUGAAAAGAUGCUCAUCAGAAUUCUCCUGUGGCACAGUGGGUUAAGGAUCUGGCAUUGUCACUGUAGUGGCUUGGAUCACUGCUGUGGCUUGGGUUUGAUCCCUGGCUUGGGAGCUUUUGUGUGCCAUAGGCACAGCCCCCCCCUCCCAAAAAAUGAUCAUCAUCACAAAUUAAUAGAGAAAUGAAAAACUACAGUGAGGUACACCUGAAAUUAACACAACUUUCUAAGUCAAUUGUACUCCAACAAAAUUUAUUUAAAAAAGAAAACUGCAGGAGUUCCCUUCAUGGCUCAGCAGUUCACGAACCAGACUAGGAUCCAUGAGGACGCAGGUUUGAUCCCUGGCUUUUCUCAGUUGGUUCUGGCAUUGCCGUGAGCUGUGGUGUAGGUUGAAGAUGCAGCUCGGAUCCCACGUUGCAAUGGCUGUGGCGUAGGCUGGUAGCCGUAGCUCUGAUUCAACUCCUAGCCUGGAAAUCUCCAUAUGCCGUAAGUGCAGCCCUGAAAAGCAAAUAAAAAAUAAAAUUUUUUUAAACUAAAAUGAGGUGCAAUCACACACUGGUCAGAAUGGCCAUCAUUAAAAAGUCCACAAAUAAUAAAUGCUGAAGAGGGUGAGGAUAAGAGGGAACUCUCUUACACUGUUGGUGAGAGUUUAAAUUGGUGCAGCCACUAUGGAAAACAGUAUAGAGGUGCCAUAUGAUCCAGCAGUCCCACUCCCGGGCAUAUAUCCAGACAAAACUAAUUCAAAAAGAGAUGUUCAUAGCAGCACUGUCUGCAAUAGCCCAGAUGUGGAAAUGUCCUAAAUGACCAUAAGAGGUGACAUUGGGUAAAGAAGACAUGGUGCAUCUAUACAAUGAAAUAUUACUCAGGAAUAAAAGGGAUGAAAUAAUGCCAUUUGUAGCAACAUAGAUAUACCUAGGGAUUAUCAUACUAAGCAAAUCAAGUCAGAAUGAGAAAGACAAAUAUAUGUUUUCAGAUAUAUAUGGAAUCUAAAAUAAGAUAAAGGAGUUAGUGGGUUAAGGACUAUUGUGACCUAGUGGGUUAAGGACCCAGUAUUAUCUCCCUAAGAAUACAGGUUCAAUCCCUGGCCUCGCUCAGUGGGUUAAGGAUCUGGCAUUGCCACAAGCUACAGUGUAGGUCACAGGUGCAGCUCAGAUCCAGUGUGGCUGUGGUGUAGGACAGCAGCUACAGCUCUGAUUCAACCCCUAGCCUAGAAACUUCCAUAUGCCGAAGGUGCAGCCAUAAAAUGGUACAAAUGAACAUAUCUGCAAAACAGUAACAGACUCAGAGACACAGAAAAGGGUCUGUGGUUGCCAUGGGGGAGGUUGGUGGGAGAGGGAAGAAUUGGCAGUUUAGGAUUAGCAGAUGCAAACAGUGUAUAUGGAAUGGAUAAACAACAGGGUUCUGCUGUAUAGCACAGGGAACUUUAUUCAAUACCCUGUGAUAACCAUAGUGGAAAAGAAUAUAAAAAUACAUAACUGAAUCACUUUUUUGUGCAGCAGAUGUUAACACGUUGUAACUCAAUGGUACUUCAAUAAAAUUUUUAAAACACCUUUUCUUGACCCUGCUUACUGCUCUCUCACAUCCCUCACUUAAGUCAAAUUUCCAGUAAGACUUGUCCCUAGAAACUCACUGGUUUCAUUCAUUCAGUUAGUCUAAUUUCUGUCUCCCUCAUAACAUCACCAAAACUUUCCCAAUGCAGUGGUUCAUCAACAUGUGCUGAUUCUCUAGGGGGGCCUUGGAAAUAGUCAAGUUUUGGUUUGGUUUGGUUUGGUUUGGUUUUCACUUACACUUUUGGUUAUAACUUGAGGAUGGGUGGAGCAGUGCUUUUGGUGUUUAGUUGUUGGAGAUCAAGAAUGCCUAACACAUUGCAGGGUGUAGGACAAUCCCUUUAACAAUUUUCCCACUCAAGGAGUUCCUGUCGUGGUUCAGCAGUAAUGAACGCAACUAGUAUCUGUGAGGAUGCAGGUUCAAUCCCUGGCCUCGCUCAGUGGCUUAAGGAUCCAGCAGCACCAUGAGCUGUAGUUUAGGUUGCAGACAUGGCUCAGAUGCCACGUUACCGUGGCUGUGGCAUAGGCUGUAGCUCUGAUUCAACCCCUAAGCCUGGGAACUUCCCUAUGCCAUGGGUGCAGCCCUAAUAACCCCCCGCAAAAAAGAAUUUGCCCACUCAAAAUGCUAAUAUCACCCCAUUGGAAAAUAAUCUUAAGCUCACAAAUGACUUCCACAGGAGUCCCUUGUGGUGCAGCAGAUUAAGGAUCUGGAGUUGUCACUGAGGCAGCCUGGGGUGCUGCUCUGGCAUGAGUUUGACCCCUGGCCUGUGAACUUUUUCAUGCUGCCAUCACAGCCCUUACCCCCACACCCCAAAAAAGUGGCUUCCAUGUACCUAUGUCGACUGAGCACUUUAAAUCUUUUUCCUGGGCUGCACCUGCAGCGUAUGGAGUUUCCCAUGCUAGGGGUUGAAUCAGAGCUACAGCUGCCGGCUUACACCACAGCCACAGCAACUCGGGAUCUGAGCCAUGUCUGCAACCUACACCCCAGCUCAUGGCAACACCAGAUCUUUAACCCACUGAGUGAGGCAACGGAUUGAACCCGAAACCUAAUGGUUCCUGGUCUCAUUUUUUUCUGCUGUGCCACGAUGGGAACUCCCAAACUGCAUUUCUGAUGUAGGUUUCCUGGUCCCAAAGGGAGCAGAAUGGAUCUUGUUCUUAAAGUAUUGUGGUAGUUUAUUUUCAGCUGCUUAGUGCUUCCCUGAAGAACUGGUGCAAAGGGCUUGCCCGAUUUUGUUUAACUUGGAACUUUCCCAAGGCAGAGGUGAUGGACAAUACAGGGAGCUUUCAUUUAAAAACAAACAAACAAACAAACAAAACAAAAACAAAAACUGCUGAGACCUGGAGAAAGAAAUAGAAAUAGCUGUUGGGGCAAACAAUAGACACACUAAAAUGCCAGGGGUGGGGGUGGCUGAAGAGUGAGAUAAUUUGCACACUAAAUCUUUUAAAAGCUCCCAUAUAUUUUGGGUACUGAAAGGAUACAUGCGUAUUCAGGGUGAGGUAGAUGCUCAGAAAAGAAGGGGCCCUGAACUCUCACCUCUGGCUAAUUUUCAGGCUCUGCUCAACAUAGGAAGAGAAAACUGACAUGGAUUUGUUAAUCACCCAGCUGAACGUGGAAGGCAUGCCCAAACACAUGCAGAGAACCCACUGGUAAAGGCUGAACGCUUUUUUUCCUUCAUUUUUGGUUCUAGGCAUUUAAGGAAAUUGCUGUUGAAUCACUAGCUGACUAUUCGGCUAACAAACCAGUCACUUGUGAUGGAACAUGAUGGAGGAUAAUGUGGGAAAAAGAAUAUAUAUAUGUGUGUGUGUGUGUACAUAUGUAUGACUGGGUCGCUUUGCUGUACAGCAAAAAAUGACCAUUAUAAAUCAACUGUAAUAGAAAAAAUAAAAAUUAAAAAAAAAACAGGAUUGCUACACUGUAACAGUCUAAAUGUCCAGUUUUCAACAACA